UCCGGUUGAUCCUGCCGGACCCGACUGCUAUCAGAGUGGGACUAAGCCAUGCGAGUCAACAUAGCAAUAUGUGGCAUACGGCUCAGUAACACGUAGUCAACAUGCCCAGGGGACGUGGAUAACCUCGGGAAACUGAGGAUAAACCGCGAUAGGUCAUCACUUCUGGAAUGGGUAAUGACUUAAAUCUAUAUGGCCCCUGGAUUGGACUGCGGCCGAUCAGGCUGUUGGUGAGGUAAUGGCCCACCAAACCUGUAACCGGUACGGGCUCUGAGAGGAGGAGCCCGGAGAUGGGCACUGAGACAAGGGCCCAGGCCCUAUGGGGCGCAGCAGGCGCGAAACCUCUGCAAUAGGCGAAAGCUUGACAGGGUUACUCUGAGUGAUUUCCGUUAAGGAGAUCUUUUGGCACCUCUAAAAAUGGUGCAGAAUAAGGGGUGGGCAAGUCUGGUGUCAGCCGCCGCGGUAAUACCAGCACCCCGAGUGGUCGGGACGUUUAUUGGGCCUAAAGCAUCCGUAGCCGGUUCUACAAGUCUUCCGUUAAAUCCACCUGCUUAACAGAUGGGCUGCGGAAGAUACUAUAGAGCUAGGAGGCGGGAGAGGCAAGCGGUACUCGAUGGGUAGGGGUAAAAUCCGUUGAUCCAUUGAAGACCACCAGUGGCGAAGGCGGCUUGCCAGAACGCGCUCGACGGUGAGGGAUGAAAGCUGGGGGAGCAAACCGGAUUAGAUACCCGGGUAGUCCCAGCUGUAAACGAUGCAGACUCGGUGAUGAGUUGGCUUAUUGCUAACUCAGUGCCGCAGGGAAGCCGUUAAGUUUGCCGCCUGGGGAGUACGGUCGCAAGACUGAAACUUAAAGGAAUUGGCGGGGGAGCACCACAAGGGGUGAAGCCUGCGGUUCAAUUGGAGUCAACGCCGGAAAUCUUACCGGGGGCGACAGCAGAGUGAAGGUCAAGCUGAAGACUUUACCAGACAAGCUGAGAGGAGGUGCAUGGCCGUCGCCAGCUCGUGCCGUGAGGUGUCCUGUUAAGUCAGGUAACGAGCGAGACCCA
Molecule: ribosomal RNA, 1043 nt
Filed under: unidentified archaeon
Lineage: Archaea
Description: bacterial SSU rRNA
Rfam family: Archaeal small subunit ribosomal RNA
Source: RNAcentral